GGACUCGUAGCUCAGCUGGUAGAGCAUGCGCGUACAAAGCGUAGGCGGUGUCCAUGCGUGGGUUCGAAUCCCACCGAGGCUA
RNAcentral lists this transfer RNA (82 nucleotides) under Echinostoma caproni. It matches the Rfam family "tRNA". Rfam says of the family: Transfer RNA (tRNA) molecules are approximately 80 nucleotides in length. Their secondary structure includes four short double-helical elements and three loops (D, anti-codon, and T loops). Lineage: Eukaryota; Metazoa; Platyhelminthes; Trematoda; Plagiorchiida; Echinostomatidae. The record is from Rfam by way of RNAcentral.